This 468-nucleotide ribosomal RNA is filed under the name uncultured bacterium. RNAcentral's name for it is "partial 16S ribosomal RNA". It matches the Rfam family "Bacterial small subunit ribosomal RNA", at positions 28 to 507 of the family's 1533-position model. The record is from RNAcentral.
GACGAACGCUGGCGGCGUGCUUAACACAUGCAAGUCGAACGGAAAGGCCCUGCUUUUGUGGGGUGCUCGAGUGGCGAACGGGUGAGUAACACGUGAGUAACCUGCCCUUGACUUUGGGAUAACUUCAGGAAACUGGGGCUAAUACCGGAUAGGAGCUCCUGCUGCAUGGUGGGGGUUGGAAAGUUUCGGCGGUUGGGGAUGGUCUCGCGGCUUAUCAGCUUGUUGGUGGGGUAGUGGCUGACCAAGGCUUUGACGGGUAGCCGGCCUGAGAGGGUGACCGGCCACCAUGGGACUAAGAUACGGCCCAGACUCGUACGGGAGGCAGCGGUGGGGAGUAUUGCACAAUGGGCGGGCGCCUGAUGCAGCGACGCCGCGUGCGGGAUGACGGCCUUCGGGGUGUAAACCGCUUUCGCCUGUGACGAGGCGUGAGUGACGGUAAUGGGUAAAGAAGCACCGGCUAACUACGUG